Molecule: ribosomal RNA, 254 nt
Filed under: uncultured bacterium
Lineage: Bacteria
Description: partial 16S ribosomal RNA
Rfam family: Bacterial small subunit ribosomal RNA
Source: RNAcentral
GACGUAGGGCGCGAGCGUGUCCGGAUUUAUUGGGCGUAAAGAGCUCGUAGGCGGCUUGUCGCGUCGUCCGUGAAAACCUGCAGCUCAACUGCAGGCUUGCGGUCGAUACGGGCAGGCUAGAGUACUGCAGGGGGAGACUGGAAUUCCUGGUGUAGCGGUGGAAUGCGCAGAUAUCAAGAGGAACACCGACGGCGUAGGCAGCGCCCUAGACGAGACCUGACGCUCAGGCACGAAAGCGCGGGGGAGCGAACAGG